AUUGAACGCUGGCGGAAUGCUUUACACAUGCAAGUCGAACGGCAGCACGGGGCAACCUGGUGGCGAGUGGCGAACGGGUGAGUAAUACAUCGGAACGUGCCCAAUCGUGGGGGAUAACGUAGCGAAAGUUACGCUAAUACCGCAUACGAUCUACGGAUGAAAGCAGGGGAUCGCAAGACCUUGCGCUGAUUGAGCGGCCGAUGUCAGAUUAGCUAGUUGGUGAGGUAAAGGCUCACCAAGGCGACGAUCUGUAGCGGGUCUGAGAGGAUGAUCCGCCACACUGGAACUGAGACACGGUCCAGACUCCUACGGGAGGCAGCAGUGGGGAAUAUUGGGCAAUGGGGGGAACCCUGACCCAGCAACGCCGCGUGAAGGAAGAAGGCCUUCGGGUUGUAAACUUCUUUGUACAGGGAAGAAGGAAGUGACGGUACCCUGAGAACAAGCUCCGGCUAACUACGUG
RNAcentral lists this ribosomal RNA (460 nucleotides) under uncultured bacterium. RNAcentral's name for it is "bacterial SSU rRNA". It matches the Rfam family "Bacterial small subunit ribosomal RNA", at positions 30 to 507 of the family's 1533-position model. The record is from RNAcentral.